Molecule: ribosomal RNA, 465 nt
Filed under: uncultured bacterium
Lineage: Bacteria
Description: partial 16S ribosomal RNA
Rfam family: Bacterial small subunit ribosomal RNA
Source: RNAcentral
GACGAACGCUGGCGGCGUGCUUAACACAUGCAAGUCGAACGGAAAGGCCCUGCUUGCAGGGUACUCGAGUGGCGAACGGGUGAGUAACACGUGGGUGAUCUGCCCUGCACUUCGGGAUAAGCCUGGGAAACUGGGUCUAAUACCGGAUAGGAGCCAUUUUUAGUGUGAUGGUUGGAAAGUUUUUUCGGUGUAGGAUGAGCUCGCGGCCUAUCAGCUUGUUGGUGGGGUAAUGGCCUACCAAGGCGGCGACGGGUAGCCGGCCUGAGAGGGUGGACGGCCACAUUGGGACUGAGAGACGGCCCAGGCUCCUACGGGAGGCAGCAGUGGGGAAUAUUGCACAAUGGGCGCAAGCCUGAUGCAGCGACGCCGCGGGGGGGAUGACGGCCUUCGGGUUGUAAACUCCUUUCGCUAGGGACGAAGCUUUUUGUGACGGUACCUAGAUAAGAAGCACCGGCUAACUACGUG